CACGCAGGGCGCAAGCGUUGUCCGGAAUGAUGGGGCGUAAAGAGCUCGUAGGCGGUCUGUUGCGUCCGCUGUGAAAACUCGGGGCUUAACCCCGAGCCUGCAGUGGAUACGGGCAGACUAGAGGUAGGUAGGGGAGAAUGGAAUUCCCGGUGUAGCGGUGAAAUGCGCAGAUAUCGGGAGGAACACCGGUGGCGAAGGCGGCUUCCUGGACCAACACUGACACUGAGGAGCGAAAGCCAGGGGAGCAAACGGG
Molecule: ribosomal RNA, 253 nt
Filed under: uncultured bacterium
Lineage: Bacteria
Description: partial 16S ribosomal RNA
Rfam family: Bacterial small subunit ribosomal RNA
Source: RNAcentral